AGAGAGAGAGAGAGAGAGAGAGUUGUGUCAUGUGGUUUGGUGUGUGUGUGUGUUUAGUCUGCCUCUACCAGUAGAAAGGAGUUGGCGGUCUGACAGAGGAGAUACAGCAGCCUGAGUGUGUUCUUCUUUGUGUGAGUGUGAAUCCCUCUCUGACAUCAUGGUUCCGUUAACACACGGUUGGCUGGCUCUGGCCCGGGUCUAACUGGGCAUGACCAGGUGCUUAUAUCAACAGGAUAGGAUGAGGUCGUUACUCCGUAUCCUCUGCUACAUAACACACUUAAUGACACUUUAAGGGAUAGUUUGCUUUUAUACUUCUGCACUUCUUCAAACACAUAGGAUAUUUCUGUAUCAUUUAACAGCAUCCAAGCAAUGACAGACUUCUAGUAAAAAGUUGGAGAAAGAGUACCAUUUGUGUGAACACAGACGCCCCAGUUAGACUGUCAGAGAGAGAGAGAUAGAGGGGGGUAGAGAGAGAGAGAGAGAGAGAGAGAGAGAGAGAGAGAGAGAGACAGAGACAGGGACAGGUAGAGGGGUAGAGAAGGAUAGAGAGAGAGAGAAGGGUAGAGAGAGAGAGAAGGGUAGAGAGAGAGAAGGGUAGGGAGAGAGAGUGAGAGAGGGAAGGGUAGAGAGAGAGAGAAGGGUAGAGAGAGAGAGAGAGAAGGGUAGAGAGAGAGGGGGAGAGAGUGAGAGAGACAGGGGUAGAGAGAGAUAGAGAGAGAGAGACAGGGAGAGAGACACACAUAGAUACAGAACCAGAGAGAUCGUGGUUCCACCUGUACUGGGUCAUUAGGCUGGUGGCAUGUCGUUGUUUGACUGACCGGCAGACCACCGCCUGGUAUUACCAGAGUAUUAACAGCAUAGUGCCCCUGCUUCACAAAAUACUGCUGAGCUGCAGUCACAGGUUACGUCCCAAACGGAACCCUAUUCCCUACAAUGCUCACUACCUUUGACCAGGGUCCAUAGUGUCAAAAGGCAGUUCCCUAUUUAGGAAAUAGGAAGGUAUUUGGGAUGCAGGCCCAGUAGUCAGAGCAGAGGCCACUGUGGAGAUCAGACCAACAGCCCCAUAUCAAAACAGAGAGAGAAGAUAGGACAUCGUGUUGACACAGUGAAGGCAGCUUGCUGUGACAGCACUCAGAAACUCACACAGUGACAGGCUGCAGGCUGGUAGCUCAGCAUUAUCAGUUGAUUUGAUGUGAGAUGCGUCAUUUGCUCAUUCUAAUGAAUGGUGUGUGAAAAGACCAGUGAAAUCACAGCACAGUGGUAGUUCUGUAGCUGGAAAGGAUGAGAUCCACUACUUUCUACUUCACAUCGCACAAUGGCAUCUUUUUAUAGUAAGUGUGGGGAAAAAAAGACCAAGGUGAUAUCAAUUGGAGGCUGAUUAUCUGAAGACCAGUCAUAUUUAUUAUUUACUAAACAGUUGUCACGGCAACAUGUAUCGACAGGUUCACAUUAUAAACCAUCGGAAGUCUCGUGGUUGUCACGGCAACAUGUAUCGACAGGUUCACAUUAUAAACCAUCGGAAGUCUCGUGGUUGUCACGGCAACAUGUAUCGACAGGUUCGCAUUAUAAACCAUCAGAAGUCUCGUGGUUGUCACGCCAACAUGUAUCGACAGGUUCACAUUAUAAACCAUCAGAAGUCUCGUGGUUGUCACGCCAACAUGUAUCGACAGGUUCACAUUAUAAACCAUCAGAAGUCUCGUGGUUGCCAUGCCAACAUGUAUUGACAGGUUCACAUUAAAACUUCCACACACGGAUCCAGGGUCCAUGGAAAAGUUGUCUUUUUUUGUCCUUUUUUUUCAUACAUCCACCCACCCAGUGGCCAAGUUGGAUGUUUUUUUUAAUUUUCAGACAGAGAGAGGGAACAGUAGCUAUAACUGUCUGUCUGUGAGUGGAGGUUGAAGAGAUUAGAGUGAAGAAGAGGAGGAGGAGGAGGAAACACUGGGACAGUGUUGAUACUGUUGAAGAUGUGGGUUCUUUCAAACACAUGGUAACAGCAGUAAGCCUUGUCCAAGCCAGAAUGGACCAUAGAGCAGGAGCAUAUCUCCUGUUUCUAUAGUGUGAGACAGCUUUGAUGUACAAGUACUCCCCCUGUACGGGACACUAGUAAAUCAAAGUCUCUGCCGUAAGGUCUACAGAACGCUGUCAUAGUAAGACAUAACAGAUGGUAUCAGUAGGUAUUAACAGCAAAGGAAACGGAACAGAGAGAACAUGUUAUGUAACGUUUCUUAAAAUACAUUUCCCUUUCACUCGUUAGAUUUUCACCAAGGGCUUACUGUAGUAAUCAUAACAAUAACAACAUUUCCUUAUGAGUUUCAAGGCCUGGGUAAGGCCUGGGAAAGGCCUGGGAAAGGGCAUGGGAAAGGCCUGGGAAAGGCAUGGGAAAGGCCUGGGUAAGGCCUGGGUAAGGCAUGGGAAAGGCAUGGGAAAGGCCUGGGUAAGGCAUGGGAAAGGGUAAGGCCUGGGUAAGGCCUGGGUAAGGCAUGGGAAAGGGUAAGGCCUGGGUAAGGCCUGGGUAAGGCCUGGGAAAGGCCUGGGAAAGGCAUGGGAAAGGCCUGGGUAAGGCAUGGGAAAGGGUAAGGCCUGGGUAAGGCCUGGGUAAGGCAUGGGAAAGGGUAAGGCCUGGGUAAGACCUGGGUAAGGCAGGGGAAAGGGUAAGGCCUGGGAAAGGAUAAGGCCUUACUUAGGCCUGGGAAAGGAAAGGCCUGGGAAAGGCCUGGGAAAGGCCUGGGAAAGGCCUGGGAAAGGCCUGGGUAAGGCCUGGGUAAGGCAUGGCAAAGUCCUGGGUAAGGCCUGGGUAAGGCCUGGGCAAGACCUGGGUAAGGCAUGGGAAAGGGUAAGGCAUGGGAAAGGAUAAGACCUUACUUAGGCCUGGGAAAGGAAAGGCCUGGGUAAGGCCUGGGUAAGGCAUGGCAAAGUCCUGGGUAAGGCCUGGGUAAGGCCUGGGCAAGACCUGGGUAAGGGUAAGGCCUGGGUAAGACCUGGGUAAGGCCUUGAAACUGAGGAAAGACAAGCAGCCAUAUCCUCACUCAACCUCUUUUAUUCCAGAAUCGUCCUCUAAAAACAAGGAAAUAGACUGAGCCAAAACACAUCACCUUCAUGGCUCAGACUCAAAUGGGACAUGUGCUGUCAAUGACAUAACCAACCAAGAACAACCAACCAGGACCGACCAACCAGGGCCAACCAGGACCAAUAAACACAGAGAAAACAGAGAUGAACACAGUGAAACUAACUGGAACAUGUGGGCGGGAUCAGUGGGUGUGUUCUGGAUCAGAAGCAUGGUUGACAAGAGGACAGGAAGUGUCAUGACUAAUGUAGUAGUUCCAAAAGGAUAUGACACACUGUGGAAAGCCUUGGAGCGCCUGUAUCUCACAGAACAGAACAGCAGCAGUACAACUGAGGACAUCCCUUCCUCUUCACUAUGUUCACUGUCUCAUUAGACUGUAAUAACAGCUGAGGACAUAUCUUCCUCUUUUCAUUAUGUUCACUGUCUCAUUAGACUGUAAUAACAGCUGAGGACAUAUCUUCCUCUUUUCAUUAUGUUCACUGUCUCAUUAGACUGUAAUAACAGCUGAGGACAUAUCUUCCUCUUUUCACUAUGUUCACUGUCCCAUUAGACUGUAAUAACAGCUGAGGACAUAUCUUCCUCUUUUCACUAUGUUCACUGUCCCAUUAGACUGUAAUAACAGCUGAGGACAUAUCUUCCUCUUUUCACUAUGUUCACUGUCCCAUUAGACUGUAAUAACAGCUGAGGACAUAUCUUCCUCUUUUCAUUAUGUUCACUGUCCAAUUAGACUGUAAUAACAGCUGAGGACAUAUCUUCCUAUUUUCACUAUGUUCACUGUCCCAUUAGACUGUAAUAACAGCUGAGGACAUCACUUUACUCUCUGGGACAGUCAGCCUUGUCCAACAGUGAGGGUUUAUUUCCAUAAAUUUCACCAACUGGAAAGGGCACGGGACCUGUCCAGUUCUAUAAUGAGUCUUGUCCAGUCCUGCCCUGUCCAAAUCUAUAAUGAGUAUUGUCCAGUCUUGUCCUGGUCAGCUCUAUGAUGAGUCUUGUCCUGGUCAGUUUUAUAAUGAGUCUUGUCCUGGUCAGCUCUAUAAUGAGUCUUGUCCUGGUCAGUUUUAUAAUGAGUCUUGUCCUGGUCAGCUCUAUAAUGAGUCUUGUCCUGGUCAGUUCUAUAAUGAGUCUUGUCCUGGUCAGUUUUAUAAUGAGUCUUGUCCUGGUCAGUUCUAUAAUGAGUCUUGUCCU
This is a long non-coding RNA of Oncorhynchus tshawytscha (Chinook salmon), 4249 nucleotides long. The record is from Ensembl. NCBI's taxonomy places the organism in Eukaryota, Metazoa, Chordata, Actinopteri, Salmoniformes, Salmonidae.